CAGGUGUCCGCGCGUAAGGCGCGGGUGAAAAGGGAACGGAGUGGGAAUCUCCGACAGGACCGCUGCUGUGAGGCGGAGCGUGGCGCAAAAUGGUCAUUGAUUUUACGAAUCGAGAAGACCGCGCCGGCGUGAUGAAGCCGAGUCAGAAGACCUGCCCGCGAAUG
Molecule: non-coding RNA, 164 nt
Filed under: human gut metagenome
Source: RNAcentral